UCCGGGGACGUGGGCAGACCUUACUGGUACCACGCGAGCUCUCGCCUUUGCUAGCAAAAGAGUUCCUCUCUUCCCAAACCUUGCUGCUACGCUGUCCACCUUAUAUGGUCUUUGAGGUUUUUUUGGAAUUCACUUUCUGGAGACUACAGCUCACAGAACGCCCUGGGCUGGACUGUGCCAGCUGUAGUUCGCGAACCAAGGACAUUUCCUGGAAAUGCAUGCGGCCACGUAUCUGUGACACAAAUGGCAGUUCUCAUGUGCGUUACGCCCCCUGGAAGGACUUGGAAAUACGGAACUUGAGUGAGCACUGGGAGAACAGAGACCCUCAUCCUGGGAGGAGUCACUCCUUCCGCAGUCAUCAGAGCCUGACAACCCCUUCUCACCAGAGGCGCUUCUUAGACCCUGACCUUGCCUGGCUCACCCAAAGGGGCAAUGGCGUUCUUUGUAUGCAAGCCAGAGCAGUCUACUGUUGGUGUAUAUUUGAAUUUUUUACUUUAUUUUUAAUAUUUAAAUUAAAUUUUAAUUUAAUGCUGUCUCUG
RNAcentral lists this long non-coding RNA (539 nucleotides) under Pongo abelii (Sumatran orangutan). RNAcentral describes it as "lincRNA". Lineage: Eukaryota; Metazoa; Chordata; Mammalia; Primates; Hominidae. The record is from RNAcentral.